CUUGAAACAAGAGUGACGGGCGAUUUGUGCAUAUUUUAUUCCUUAUUCAAGUUUUAAUUUCUUUUCCACUUUUACUUUCAAGUCCUUUUUCCUUUUAUUGAAUUAAAAUUCUAUCCAUAGUUUUUUUUGUAUCCCACUUUUUUCUUUAAAAUAAACCCUGUAUUGAUUUGUCUUACGAUCUUCCAUUUCUCAACUCAUCCUUUAAAAUGAAUUUUCAGACAAUGAUAUAGGGGUUUAAAUAUAAAGCUCUUUUUUAUCGUGGGUUGUCUAUCAAAGAGCAGGAUCCCCUGCUUAGUUAAAAUACCGCCAUAUCUCGCAUAGUUUUUUCUUUUUUAAAUACUCCCAUUUCUUGCUUUAAAA
RNAcentral lists this ribosomal RNA (360 nucleotides) under Tetra pyriana. RNAcentral describes it as "partial small subunit ribosomal RNA". The record is from RNAcentral. Lineage: Eukaryota; Metazoa; Arthropoda; Arachnida; Trombidiformes; Eriophyidae.